CCUCUACACCCUGUGCAUCAUACUGAAGUUUGCAGAUGACACUGCAGUGAUCGGUCGCAUCACUGGUGGGGACGAGGCGGCUUAUAGGAGAGAGGUGGCCGGUCUGUCAUGGUGUGAGGACAACCUCACCCUCAACACUGAUAAAACAAAGGAGAUGAUAGUGGACAUGAGGAAGAAGAGGUAUGAUAUUGGUAUGAUCCGAGCUCAGACACUAAGCGACUGAGCGAGGGGGCGGGGCAGCUGCUGCCUGUGAGUGCGCUGUUGGAAAAACGGAGCCAGCCAUACUAAGGAGAGCUUAAGUUCGACCAGGUAACAAAGCAAAUCAUUCGUACCGUACAAAUAAUGUAAAUGUGACGGUGAAUCAUGAAAGAUUGAUAUCAAACUGAUCACUUGACCAAUAUUAUUUUACUUGCUCUUCAAGUGAAUCAACAAAUGGCGAAAUGAAAAGCCGAACAAAUGCUAUUUUUUUUUUUUUAGAGAGUCUUAGCUUACGUGUGUUUAUUUCAUAUUUUCAGUUCUUACCCUCCCCGACUAAAUCGGUUUCAGUUAUGUACUGAAAUAUAAGAAUGGACAUUAGAGGCUUCUUUCAAAGAAAAAACUCAGUUUGUUCCUUCAACCCUACCAAACUUGUGUGUGUGGACAGCAAAGGAAGAAUUUCAUCGCACAGAGAAAUUUCUUCUGUACAUGUCACACAGUGGAAAUUUGUAUUUAUCUUGUAUAUUGUUUUUGUUCUGAUUUUGGUGUUUGUUUGUGGGUGUCGUUUUGUUUGCAUGGUUUUUAGUGUUUUAUGUGACAUGGUUUU
This is a long non-coding RNA of Astatotilapia calliptera (eastern happy), 802 nucleotides long. The record is from Ensembl. NCBI's taxonomy places the organism in Eukaryota, Metazoa, Chordata, Actinopteri, Cichliformes, Cichlidae.